AGUUCCAGCAGGGAGAGCCUGCCGGCAGGCAGCAGCCCUGAGCACCCAGCCUGAGCCGGCCGGCGUGUCCUGCGAGCCACAGCUCCUUCCUGCUGGCGGCUUCCGUCCUGCAGCAGCCCUGCCCCAGCCCGGGGCUGCCCCGCCCAUGUCCCAGGCUUGGUGACAACAGUGGAGUGGACGUCAAGGGCCCAGGCUUCCUUCAGCCCCUCCUGGCCUCUGCCUCACCCAGCCCCCUUACCCUGCGGCUGCCUGCCCUGGGCCCAGCCCCCUUGCUCCCCAGCCCCAGUCCCUCCUCUCCCUGGACCCAGCUUGCGACCUUCAACCUGGCAGAUGGACAUGUGCUCUCUGCUGUGGCCUGGGAAAGCAGUAGAAGAUGGCCCAAGUGCUUGGGCCCCUGCACCCACCUGGGAGACCCGGCAGAAGCUCCUGGCUCCUGGCUUCGGAUCGAGGCAGCUCAGGCCGUUGAGGCCAACUGGGGAGUGAACCAGUGGAUAGAAGACCUCUCUCUCUGUCUCUAUUUCUCUCUGUAACUCUGUCUUUGAAAUAAAUAAAAUAAAUCUUUUAAAAAAAAUAAAGAAACCGGAACCACA
Long non-coding RNA from Oryctolagus cuniculus (rabbit), 590 nucleotides. RefSeq lists it as uncharacterized. The record is from RefSeq and is a predicted model, not a curated record. NCBI's taxonomy places the organism in Eukaryota, Metazoa, Chordata, Mammalia, Lagomorpha, Leporidae.